GACGUAGGGCGCGAGCGUUGUCCGGAAUUACUGGGCGUAAAGGGCGCGUAGGCGGCCUGUUAAGUCGAACGUGAAAUCCCCAGGCUCAACCUGGGAACUGCGUCCGAUACUGGCAGGCUUGAAUCCGGGAGAGGGAUGCGGAAUUCCAGGUGUAGCGGUGAAAUGCGUAGAUAUCUGGAGGAACACCGGUGGCGAAGGCGGCAUCCUGGACCGGUAUUGACGCUGAGGCGCGAAAGCCAGGGGAGCAAACGGG
Molecule: ribosomal RNA, 253 nt
Filed under: uncultured bacterium
Lineage: Bacteria
Description: partial 16S ribosomal RNA
Rfam family: Bacterial small subunit ribosomal RNA
Source: RNAcentral